AGUGAACGCUGGCGGUAGGCCUAACACAUGCAAGUCGAACGGCAGCACAGUAAGAGCUUGCUCUUACGGGUGGCGAGUGGCGGACGGGGGAGGAAUACAUCGGAAUCUACUUUUUCGUGGGGGAUAACGUAGGGAAACUUACGCUAAUACCGCAUACGACCUACGGGUGAAAGCAGGGGAUCUUCGGACCUUGCGCGAUUGAAUGAGCCGAUGUCGGAUUAGCUAGUUGGCGGGGUAAAGGCCCACCAAGGCGACGAUCCGUAGCUGGUCUGAGAGGAUGAUCAGCCACACUGGCACUGAGACACGGUCCCGACUCCUACGGGAGGCAGCAGUGGGGAAUAUUGGACAAUGGGCGCAAGCCUGAUCCAGCCAUACCGCGUGGGUGAAGAAGGCCUUCGGGUUGUAAAGCCCUUUUGUUGGGAAAGAAAAGCAGCAGGUUAAUACCCCGCUGUUCUGACGGUACCCAAAGAAUAAGCACCGGCUAACUUCGUG
RNAcentral lists this ribosomal RNA (492 nucleotides) under uncultured bacterium. RNAcentral describes it as "partial 16S ribosomal RNA". It matches the Rfam family "Bacterial small subunit ribosomal RNA", at positions 29 to 507 of the family's 1533-position model. The record is from RNAcentral.